Peromyscus maniculatus bairdii (prairie deer mouse) is the source of this 1022-nucleotide non-coding RNA. The record is from RefSeq and is a predicted model, not a curated record. NCBI's taxonomy places the organism in Eukaryota, Metazoa, Chordata, Mammalia, Rodentia, Cricetidae.
CUAAAAUUUCUGGUGACAUUUACCUUCAUAUUUAAGGAAGAAAUUGAAGCCUCAGUUAGGAUUCUAAUCCAAGUUUAUAAAGUAGAUGUGUGUUCCGAGUCCUGCUUGCAAAGCUAUCUUGAAGAGUUAGCACCGUGAAUUGGAAGACAUCUGGAUUUGAACUUUCAAACAUAUAAGGUUAUCUGAUCAGCUGCAUGAAACUACAUAGAACUGUAGUUCUAUGGCCAUCCCCAUGACAUUAAAACUUCUAGUUCUAUUUGGAAAUUGGGUCGAAGAACUGGGACAACCAAAAAUAUGGAUAUUUUUGCUCCCACCAUGAAUCAAAGAAGCUUCUUUUGUCAGCAAAUGGAGACUAUUACAGAAAAGCAAAAUUGGUCAUAAUUCAGAGAACUAUUGAUCCCAGGGAGCCUAGCCCCAGGGAAUACAACUACACAACUCCUGUAGCCAAGGCUCGAGGAUAUCAAGAAGGUACAGAGAAACUGUAAUAACCAGAAUACCAGGAAAUCUGCUACAUGUGAGAUUGUAUCUCCUAGGAAUGACUAAGAAACUUCACCCAGGUUACCUCAAUGACAUGGCUACCUAACAAGACCUUAACAAUUAUAAUCCCAAUGGAUACACUAAUGUGGAAGGGGGAUAUCUCAUGGGUCCCACCCCUAGACAAGGAACUACAGGCAACUAAAUGAUCACUGAGAGCAGAAGAAUUAGCCUCAACCAGGGAGAGCCUCCUAACUGGUUAUCCAAUACAAAUGCUCAGCCCUGAAAUCAUAUACAUACAAGCAAGACUAAACAAAUUUAGCAGCUUCUAUUUAUAUAUUUGUGCAUUCAUAUGCAUGUGUGUAACAGUGGUAAUAAAAGAAAAAAAAGACCAUCAAUCUGAGAAAGUGAGGGGGUAAUGGGAGGGAUUGGAGAAAGAGGGCAUUAGGAAGACUUGGAGGGAGGAAAAAUUAAAAUUAGAAGGGACAAAAAGGAAAAUCACAUGGAAACAUAAUUAGGCUAAUUAGACAGGCAAACUUACCUGUCUU